RNAcentral lists this ribosomal RNA (482 nucleotides) under uncultured bacterium. Its description in RNAcentral is "bacterial SSU rRNA". It matches the Rfam family "Bacterial small subunit ribosomal RNA", at positions 30 to 507 of the family's 1533-position model. The record is from RNAcentral.
AUUGAACGCUGGCGGAAUGCUUUACACAUGCAAGUCGAACGGUAACAGGUCUUCGGAUGCUGACGAGUGGCGAACGGGUGAGUAAUAUAUCGGAACGUGCCCAGUCGUGGGGGAUAACGUAGCGAAAGUUACGCUAAUACCGCAUACGAUCUACGGAUGAAAGCGGGGGAUCGCAAGACCUCGCGCGAUUGGAGCGGCCGAUAUCAGAUUAGGUAGUUGGUGGGGUAAAGGCUCACCAAGCCAACGAUCUGUAGCUGGUCUGAGAGGACGACCAGCCACACUGGAACUGAGACACGGUCCAGACUCCUACGGGAGGCAGCAGUGGGGAAUUUUGGACAAUGGACGCAAGUCUGAUCCAGCCAUUCCGCGUGCAGGAUGAAGGCCCUCGGGUUGUAAACUGCUUUUGUACGGAACGAAAAGGUUUCCAUUAAUACUGGGAGCUCAUGACGGUACCGUAAGAAUAAGCACCGGCUAACUACGUG